Molecule: transfer RNA, 75 nt
Filed under: Streptomyces griseomycini
Lineage: Bacteria; Bacillati; Actinomycetota; Actinomycetes; Kitasatosporales; Streptomycetaceae
Description: tRNA-Thr(cgt)
Source: RNAcentral
AAGAUCGGUUGGCGUGACCGGUGCACCCCGCGCCUCGUGGGCGCGGGGUGCACCGGAUGAUCCCGACCGACCUUU